GUCUAUAUGUCUUUAAUGGCGUUGCUUUUUAGGAGACUGUCCGGAAUGCUAAGCUCCAGCCCAUGGAGUGGGGAUGAGCAGAGCUCUGCCUGAAGAGAGGGAGGAAAUAAGAAGUGGCUUCAUGGUCCUGUUAAGGCUCCUGAAAUAGCCCAGCAUUUGCUGUUCAAUAAUGAUGGCUUUUCAAGAGAUGUUGCUCCUGUGCUCCGUGCGUUCAAGAAAUGGGGCAAAAUCCUAUGUGCAAGAAUGCUCAUCACUCAGAAACAGUUAUAUGGGAAAUGUGAUGAUUCUUUGCAUGCUGCUUCAGAAUCCAGUUUUUAGGUUUGGAGUGGAACAACCUGAGUCCCAUGUUGUAUAUUCAGCUACACUCAUGGCCAAUGCCUCUUGAAGCCAGUCAUCUGUGACUGUUCUCCCUUGGCCACUGUUUUAAGAAGAGUUUGAAGACAUUACUCACCCCCAUUUCUUCUGAGCUCAUGAUGCCAAGUC
This is a long non-coding RNA of Dama dama (fallow deer), 483 nucleotides long. RefSeq lists it as uncharacterized. The record is from RefSeq and is a predicted model, not a curated record. Lineage: Eukaryota; Metazoa; Chordata; Mammalia; Artiodactyla; Cervidae. The transcript has 3 exons.